Molecule: ribosomal RNA, 404 nt
Filed under: uncultured bacterium
Lineage: Bacteria
Description: partial 16S ribosomal RNA
Rfam family: Bacterial small subunit ribosomal RNA
Source: RNAcentral
GAUGAACGCUGACAGCAUGCUUAACACAUGCAAGUCAACUGUGGCGGACGGGUGAGUAACGCGUAAAGAACUUGCCUCACAGAUAGGGACAACAUUUGGAAACGAAUGCUAAUACCUGAUACUGUGAGAGAGCUUUGCGUCCCAUUAGCUAGUUGGAGAGGUAACGGCUCACCAAGGCGAUGAUGGGUAGCCGGCCUGAGAGGGUGAUCGGCCACAAGCGGACUGGGACACGGCCCGUACGGCUUCGGGAGGAAGGAGUGGGGAAUAGUUGACAAUGUACCAAAGUCUGAUCCAGAAAUUCGGUGUGCACGAUGAAGUUUUCGGAAGGUAAAGUGCUUUCAGUUGGGAAGCGGUACCAACAGAAGAAGUGACGGCUAACUACGUGCCAGCCGCCGCGGUAAUAC